Molecule: ribosomal RNA, 240 nt
Filed under: Triticum aestivum (bread wheat)
Lineage: Eukaryota; Viridiplantae; Streptophyta; Magnoliopsida; Poales; Poaceae
Description: partial small subunit ribosomal RNA
Source: RNAcentral
AUGACGCUAAAGAAUUAUUUCCGUGGGCAAAAUGAUCUAUACCUGCUACAAAUUGACACUGCCAAGAUUGCAGAUGGCUUGAUUUAUGAGGCAACUGAUGGUCGUAACUACUUUCCUCAUUUCUAUGGUCCUGAUCGGAGCUUUGCACCCCUUCAACUAAGUAUUGUUGUCAAGGCAGACAAAAUAGAGCUAGCGAACCAUGAUUUUACUUGCAGUCUAUUUGAUGGAGCGGCCAUCUAA